UACCAACAAGCCAAGAAGCAAAUGGGUAGAC
This 31-nucleotide non-coding RNA is filed under the name Rattus norvegicus (Norway rat). The record is from RNAcentral. Lineage: Eukaryota; Metazoa; Chordata; Mammalia; Rodentia; Muridae.